This 810-nucleotide ribosomal RNA is filed under the name Rhipicephalus microplus (southern cattle tick). Its description in RNAcentral is "SSU rRNA". It matches the Rfam family "Eukaryotic small subunit ribosomal RNA", at positions 99 to 904 of the family's 1831-position model. Lineage: Eukaryota; Metazoa; Arthropoda; Arachnida; Ixodida; Ixodidae. The record is from RNAcentral.
CAUUAAAUCAGUUAUGGUUCCUUAGAUCGUUUCUUCCUACUUGGAUAACUGUGGCAAUUCUAGAGCUAAUACAUGCAGUGAGCCUGGAGCCCUUUGGGUAACGGGUGCUUUUAUUAGACCAAGAUCGAUCGGGUUUCGGCCCGUAUUGUGUGGUGACUCUGGAUAACUUUGUGCUGAUCGCAUGGCCACGAGCCGGCGACGUUUCUUUCAAGUGUCUGCCUUAUCAACUUUCGAUGGUAGGUUACUUGCUUACCAUGGUUGUUACGGGUAACGGAGAAUCAGGGUUCGAUUCCGGAGAGGGAGCCUGAGAAACGGCUACCACAUCCAAGGAAGGCAGCAGGCGCGCAAAUUACCCACUCCCGGCACGGGGAGGUAGUGACGAAAAAUAACAAUACGGGACUCUUUUGAGGCCCCGUAAUUGAAAUGAGUACACUCUAAAUCCUUUAACGAGGAUCAAUUGGAGGGCAAGUCUGGUGCCAGCAGCCGCGGUAAUUCCAGCUCCAAUAGCGUAUACUAAAGCUGCUGCGGUUAAAAAGCUCGUAGUUGGAUCUCAGUUCCAGACGAGUAGUGCAUCUACCCGAUGCGACGGCUCGGACUGAACAUCAUGCCGGUUCUUUCUUGGUGCACUUCAUUGUGUGCCUCGAGAUGGCCGGUGCUUUUACUUUGAAAAAAUUAGAGUGCUCAACGCAGGCGAGUCGCCUGAAUAAACUUGCAUGGAAUAAUAGAACAAGACCUCGUUUCUGUUCUGUUGGUUUUUGGAAUACGAGGUAAUGAUUAAGAGGGACGGACGGGGGCAUUCGUAUUGCGGCG